CGCAAACAUGAUUGUUAAGCGCAGACUUAUGUCACCCUCCUUUUGAGAAAUUAUAGUUCCAGGUUGGCAACGGUUAGAAUCCAACGCUAGGUGAGGAUGAUUUUUUUGAUUCCCUAAAUAAUAUGAAGGGUCCAGAUUUCCCCGUCCAGUCUAAGUUAUUUAUACCCAAGAUAUUCUAUAAAGAGUUCUGAUCUUUUCACUGCCACCACCAGUCCACCACCAUCUCUCCCUCGGCUCUCCUUCAUAUUAGCGAACGCGUAAAACAGAAAGGUCCAAAGAGAGGAAACAACGAAAGCACCGCAACUCUGCUGUGGUUGUGGUGGUUUUGUUUUUUCUAUAAAGAAUCCCAGAAGGAAGCAUUUCUGCGAGAAGGGAAGCUUCUCGCGCUUAGAUCCCAGUCGCAUCUGCUUCUGGUUACAUAAUAAAGUGCCAGGAUGGUUGCACAGGGCUUCACUGUUGAUCUCAAUAAGCCUCUUGUCUUCCAGGUUGGUCAUCUGGGAGAAGAAUAUGAGGAAUGGGUUCAUCAGCCUAUUGUAAGCAAGGAAGGCCCUCGAUUUUUUGAGAGUGAUUUCUGGGAGUUCCUGACUCGCACGGUUUGGUGGGCAAUUCCAGUUAUUUGGCUGCCAGUUGUAUGCUGGUGCAUCUCAAAGUCUGUGCGAAUGGGCCACACACCUUUUGAGAUGGCCUUAAUGGUGGGUUUUGGCAUUUUUAUCUGGACAUUGUUGGAAUACAGUUUACACCGCUUCCUUUUCCACAUCAAAACAAAGAGUUACUGGGGGAACACCUUACACUAUCUUCUUCAUGGCUGCCAUCAUAAGCACCCUAUGGAUGGUUUGCGGCUUGUCUUCCCUCCCGCUGCAACUGCUGUUCUGUGUGUGCUGGUAUGUGUACGCUGCCUGUUCUUUCCUCCUCCUUGACCUUUUCUCAAGUAUGAUUUUAUUGAUAUUAUCUAGCUGUUUAAUAAUUUUCAUGUGCAUGUCAAACUCCUGGCAAAAUCCUGUUAGUUCAGCAUAAUGAAAUCACCAAAUUUGUCUAGUGGAACAACAAAGGAGUGAAUGGGUUCAAAUGAACUGCAUUCCUUGUUACUUGUCAUAUACAAAGGUAUUGAGGAAAGGGCUCGAGUGAAGUUAGCUAAUUUCGAUGCUCUUGAUGCUGACAACUAAUUUUGAUUUGUUGGAAUCUGGUAAUUCAUUUAUUCUCAGCAGGAUGAUAGAUGAGUCAUUUACAAGGUCCAAAGAUUAUGUGGAUGUACACACUGUUUGACAACUAUCUGUUUGUGUAGGCAUAAGCUAACAAUAUUGUUAGUAAUUUUUUAUCCAUCUGUUUGUUUAGGCAACUUAUCUUUUAACUACAUUGAAGGAUACAUACGUCCCUUGUUUUGAAUUUGCUUAUAAACAUCAAUAUGGAUGUUUAAAGUCGACUUUUUGAUGCUAGCAACCGUUAAGUUGUUGCUCUUUACAAUAUUGUUGAGUUGUGCAAUCAUAUGUGCACUUUCCAUAUUAUAUUUAACUGCAAAUUUGUGUUUUUGCCAGUUCUGGAACUUGAUUCAACUUCUAGCCACUACCUCAACUGCUCCUGCUUUGUUUGGAGGUGGUCUAUUGGGAUAUGUGAUGUAUGACUGUACUCAUUACUACUUGCAUCAUGGUCAGCCUUCAAGUGGAGUAUCUAAAAAUCUCAAGAAAUAUCACUUGAAUCAUCACUUCAGGAUCCAGAAUAUGGGUUUUGGAAUUACUUCAUCACUAUGGGACAAGAUAUUUGGAACACUUCCUCCAGUGAAAGUGGUUGAAAAGAGUAGAUAAUUUAAUGUGCAGGGUCAGGGUGGGUUUUGAAGUAUGAUCAUUACCUGAUUCCCAAGCAUUCUUUCUUCUCCAAUCAAUUGAUUUAUGGUUAAUCUAAAUGAUUUCUACUAGGGUUUUAGCAUAUUCUUGAAUAUUAUGAAUAUUGUGGUGUCUUUUUCUUAUGAGAAAUCCUGUGUAAAUUUGUUUGCCCAUUUAUUGUUUUGUUGGUGAAGGGAAAAAGAAGAAGCUUCAUUUGUCUAAUAUUUGCUUGAAGGUUUGAGUAUAUUUGCA
This 2069-nucleotide unclassified non-coding RNA is filed under the name Hevea brasiliensis (rubber tree). The record is from RNAcentral. Lineage: Eukaryota; Viridiplantae; Streptophyta; Magnoliopsida; Malpighiales; Euphorbiaceae.